GUAUUCAAAGCUCACAGUGGUUGAGUCUUAAGAUGCAUCAAGACAUUGAUUUGUACAAGACAGACAUAAAAGAUUAGUGAGUGUGUUUUAAUUCUUGUUUUGGCCCUUCAUAACUAUGGCCCACUGAAAACAAACUCAGAGAUUAUAGUGAUGCCUUAGCCAUGCCUUGCUUGAAGAGAUCAUCUUUGAGACUGCAAGGCAACCUUGCAGUUAACUGUAGCUAAUGAAAUCAAUGCCAUAUGUUCUUGGGGAAAUUCGGUCUAAGAUCACACCCCAGUGAGAAAAGUUAGUUUGCUAACAGAUACGAGGCCUUGAAAAAGAGCCCUUAUAUAUGCAAGUACAUUUCAAGUGACAGGACUGAUAUAAUAUGGCACCUUAUUGUCAGAGUUCCACAUCUUUCUAUUAUUCCUUGACAGAAACAUGAGGAGAGCCGUCCUGAAAUCUACAAGGCCCUGGAAGCAUGGCCAACUGCCUCUGUUGCCGUGUUCUGGCACAGUGUCAAGGAGGGAAGGCUCAAGUCAUUCUGCUGCUGGAUUCAAACAUCAUAACGUACAGGGAUGUGACCUUGGCACAUUGCUUCAUUCUGUGUGUCCCAAUUAAUUUCAUGAAAAAGGUGGAUGCAUUUGCUUUAUUGGAAUUAGAUAGGCUUAUAUUCCAGUGUAACUCAUGAUUCAUCAUUUAGUAAUAUGAUUAUGUAAGUAGGAAAAACAAGUCGUCUGUGUACAACUCUAGAAAAUUCUUUCACAUUCCUUGCUUUAUCUCAUUUCAACCAAUUAUUUUUAAUGUGACUCUGCUUUUCACUUUGUUAUAAGAGGUAAAUAGGAUACGUUGUUGAGAGCAACUAGAGGGUUAAGGUAGAUUUUAUCACCCCCUCUACAGAUGGGUCUGCAGAUAGAUACAUGUCUAGGCCAGUAGGUGGCAGGAAAGGAGCCAAACUAUAUUUUCUUAAACUCUGGUGUACUGAGUAGAAAAAUUGUCUUGGUGAGUAGUAUGGAAAAGUAAUUCAGGUCAGAGGUAAUUUUAGUUUAGCCUCUCUGGAAAUACCAUCCAUUGCUCCUCAAUAACACAGAUUGACACUCUCAGCACAAUAAACCAGAUGUGUAGCUGUCCAUGCUCUUCUCCCUUCUAUUAUCUGUUCUUUUAUUGACCAGUACUACCUUUUGGAAUACUACUUGUAAACUAAAGUUUUACCACUGUGUAUUAUAUUUUUUUUUUGCUAAAUAGCCACCUAGUCCCACAUUCAAAAGGCCUUUGGUUAGCUAUGCCACUUCAGAUUACAGGAUCUGUGGGAUUACCUUUUAUAUUCUAAAUCAGAUACAUGAAAAUGUAGUUUUU
Molecule: long non-coding RNA, 1335 nt
Organism: Ochotona princeps (American pika)
Lineage: Eukaryota; Metazoa; Chordata; Mammalia; Lagomorpha; Ochotonidae
Exons: 2
Source: RefSeq, a predicted model, not a curated record